CAGGCCUAACACAUGCAAGUCGAACGAGAUCUUCGGAUCUAGUGGCGCACGGGUGCGUAACGCGUGGGAAUCCGCCCUGGGGUACGGAAUAACUCACCGAAAGGUGUGCUAAUACCGUAUGAUGACGUAAGUCCAAAGAUUUAUCGCCCUGGGAUGAGCCCGCGUUGGAUUAGCUAGUUGGUGGGGUAAAGGCCUACCAAGGCGACGAUCCAUAGCUGGUCUGAGAGGAUGAUCAGCCACACUGGGACUGAGACACGGCCCAGACUCCUACGGGAGGCAGCAGUGGGGAAUAUUGGACAAUGGGCGAAAGCCUGAUCCAGCAAUGCCGCGUGAGUGAUGAAGGCCUUCGGGUUGUAAAGCUCUUUUACCCGGGAUGAUAAUGACAGUAUCGGGAGAAUAAGCUCCGGCUAACUCCGUGCCAGCAGCCGCGGUAAU
This 435-nucleotide ribosomal RNA is filed under the name uncultured bacterium. RNAcentral's name for it is "bacterial SSU rRNA". It matches the Rfam family "Bacterial small subunit ribosomal RNA", at positions 43 to 524 of the family's 1533-position model. The record is from RNAcentral.